GACGAACGCUGGCGGCGUGCUUAACACAUGCAAGUCGAACGGACCGGCCCUGCUUUUGUGCGGUGCUCGAGUGGCGAACGGGUGCGUAACACGUGAGUAACCUGACCUUGCCUUUGGGAUAACUUCAGGAAACUGGGGCUAAUACCGGAUAGGAGCUCCUGCUGCAUGGUGGGGGUUGGAAAGUUGCGGCGGUUGGGGUUGGACGCGGGGCUUAUCAGCCUGUUGGUGGGGAAGUGGAUUACCAAGGCGUUGCCGGGUAGCCGGCCUGAGAGGGAGACCGGGCACAUGGGGACUGGGAAGCGGCCCAGACGCCAACGGGAGGCAGCAGUGGAGAAUAUAGCACAAAGGGCGGAGGCCUGAUGGAGCAACGCCGCGUGGGGGAGGUCGGCCGUCGGGGUGGAAACCGGUUUCGCGUGUGACGAAGCGGUGGGGACGGAAAUGGGUAAAGAGGCACCGGCUAAUUACGU
This 467-nucleotide ribosomal RNA is filed under the name uncultured bacterium. RNAcentral's name for it is "partial 16S ribosomal RNA". It matches the Rfam family "Bacterial small subunit ribosomal RNA", at positions 28 to 506 of the family's 1533-position model. The record is from RNAcentral.